GACGAACGCUGGCGGCGUGCCUAAUACAUGCAAGUCGAACGCACAGUUUAUACCGUAGCUUGCUACACCAUAGACUGUGAGUUGCGAACGGGUGAGUAACGCGUAGGUAACCUGCCUGGUAGCGGGGGAUAACUAUUGGAAACGAUAGCUAAUACCGCAUAAUAUUAAUUAUUGCAUGAUAAUUAAUUGAAAGGUGCAAUUGCACCACUACCAGAUGGCCCUGCGUUGUAUUAGCUAGUAGGUGAGGUAACGGCUCACCUAGGCGACGAUACAUAGCCGACCGGGGAGGGUGAUCGGCCACACUGGGACUGAGACACGGCCCAGACUCCUACGGGAGGCAGCAGUAGGGAAUCUUCGGCAAUGGACGAAAGUCUGACCGAGCAACGCCGCGUGAGUGAAGAAGGUUUUCGGAUCGUAAAGCUCUGUUGUAAGAGAAGAACGGGUGUGAGAGUGGAAAGUUCACACUGUGACGGUAUCUUACCAGAAAGGGACGGCUAACUACGUG
RNAcentral lists this ribosomal RNA (505 nucleotides) under uncultured bacterium. Its description in RNAcentral is "partial 16S ribosomal RNA". It matches the Rfam family "Bacterial small subunit ribosomal RNA", at positions 28 to 507 of the family's 1533-position model. The record is from RNAcentral.